RNAcentral lists this ribosomal RNA (578 nucleotides) under uncultured Glomeromycotina. RNAcentral's name for it is "LSU rRNA". It matches the Rfam family "Eukaryotic large subunit ribosomal RNA", at positions 204 to 637 of the family's 3401-position model. The record is from RNAcentral. Lineage: Eukaryota; Fungi; Glomeromycota.
CAUGGAGGGUGAGAAUCCCGUUCGGUUAACCAAAGCGCUUUACGAUACGCUUUCAAAGAGUCAAGUUGUUUGGGAUUGCAGCUUAAAAUGGGAGGUAAAUUUCUCCUAAGGCUAAAUAUUGGCGAGAGACCGAUAGCGAACAAGUACCGUGAGGGAAAGAUGAAAAGAACUUUGAAAAGAGAGUUAAACAGUACGUGAAAUUGUUGAAAGGGAAACGAUUAAAGUCAGUCGUACCUACGAGUAAUCAACCUACUCGAGUGCGAUUUUGUGGGUAUGUUAGAGUUUAAACCUUCAUGCUUACAAAUUGGUGCUCUUUGGGCGUACUUUCUCGUAUGGUAGGUUAACAUCAAUUUCGAUCGUUAUAAAAUGACUGGAGGAAUGUAGCUUCGAUCUCGGUUGAAGUGUUAUAGCCUUUGGUAGAUGUAAUGAUUGGGAUUGAGGAUUGCAACGGAUACCCUCUGGGCUAUUCGUCUGAUCUCUGGAAGUUACCUUGGUGUCGAAAGCGUGCUUACGAUAUUAAGGUUGACGGCCAAUAGGUUAGAACGUGAUUAAAUUCGUUAAGGAUGUUGACGUAUUGG